UUUNNCAAAAACAUCGCUCUUUGAACAUAUGAAAUAAAGAGUCGAGCCUGCCCGGUGAAUAUUUUUAACGGCCGCGCUACCCUGACCGUGCAAAGGUAGCAUAAUAAUUUGCUCUAUAAUUGAGGGCUGGAAUGAAUGGUUUGACAAGAAUAAAGCUGUCUCUUUAUAAUUUCUUAAAAUUUAAUUUUUAGGUGAAGAAGCCUAAAUUUUAUUAAAAGACAAGAAGACCCUAUCGAGCUUUAAAAAAAUUAAUAGAUGUGAAAUAAAUAUAUGCAUAAAAAUUUAACUAUUAAAAUAUUUUAGUUGGGGCGACUGAGGAACAUAAAAAGCUUCCUUGAUAAAAUAAUCAUGUACUUAUUUUGAUCCAGAAAUUUUGACUAAGGAAAUUAGUUACCGUAGGGAUAACAGCAUUAUCUUUUUUGAGAGCUCUUAUCGAAAAAAAGGUUUGUGACCUCGAUGUUGGACCAGAAUGUCCUAAAGAUGCAGAAGUCUUUUAGGGUUGGUCUGUUCGACCAUUAAAAUUCUACGUGAUCUGAGUUCAGACCGGCGUGAGCCAGGUCAGUUUCUAUCUUUAAUUAUUUAUAUUAAGCUUAGUACGAAAGGACCAGUUUAUAUAUAUAUGAUAUUUAAAAUGAAGAAAUAUAAUAAGAAAGUAAAAUUAAAAUCAAAUUAGCAAAAACAAUGCAAUUGAUUUAGGUUCAAUAGACAUAGGUGAAAAUCCUUUAUGUGAUACUCAUAAUGAUGGCAGAUAAAGUGCAUUAGGUUU
Molecule: ribosomal RNA, 766 nt
Filed under: Fusimorio deshayesii
Lineage: Eukaryota; Metazoa; Mollusca; Gastropoda; Neogastropoda; Cancellariidae
Description: Loxotaphrus deshayesii partial 16S ribosomal RNA
Rfam family: Bacterial large subunit ribosomal RNA (bases 1-598)
Source: RNAcentral